AGAGGAUAAAACCAAGUUGCUUCAUUGAAGGCUCGUUGAAGGAAGUUCAAUUGGUAAUGUUCCAGACUUAUGAAAUCUUCCGUUAUUUAUUCACUUCCAAGGUAACAUAGAUAUUUGAUUUAGGUUUUCAAGUUAAACGAAGAAUCACCUGUCAAUCAAGUAAUAUAAAUACUAGCUGCUUUUAUUGCACUCAAGCUUGAAAUACCUUUUUUACUCCUUCCUCAGUCUUCCGUGCAUGUUAAUAAGCAUGAUACUUUAUCUUUCGAAUAUGGUUGAAAGCCAUAAGAAUGUGCAUAGGGUGGUGAUAUAGGUGUUAUGGUCAA
RNAcentral lists this unclassified non-coding RNA (323 nucleotides) under Hevea brasiliensis (rubber tree). The record is from RNAcentral. Lineage: Eukaryota; Viridiplantae; Streptophyta; Magnoliopsida; Malpighiales; Euphorbiaceae.